AGAUCGCUCCCCACGCCCACUCCUCCUUCUCCCACGCCGCCUUCUCGCCGCCUUCUUCGCCCCCCUCCCUGCAUCGUGGCAGCGCCGCGUCGCCUCCUCAUCUCGCGGCUGCGUCGCCUCCUCACCUCGCCGCCAACGCCGCCGCCGUCGACUCCGCUCCAGAUCCCCGCGUCGCCUCCUCACCUCGCCACCAACGCCGCCGCCGGCGACGUUGCCGCUGCCCACCCGCCCCAGCCGGCGACGCUGCCGCUGCCCACCCACAACUCAUCUCGCGGCUGCGUCGCCUCCUCACCUCGCCGCCAACGCCGCCGCCGUCGACUCCGCUCCAGAUCCCCGCGUUGCCUCCUCACCUCGCCACCAACGCCGCCGCCGUCGACUCCGCAUCAAAUCCCCGCGACCUCGCCCCAUCCGCCCCAGCCGGCGGCGGCCGAUUGCCAGAUCCCCGUGUCGCCUCCUCACCUCGCCGCCAACGCCGCCGCCGGUGACGUUGCCGCUGCCCACCCGCCCCAGCCGGCGACGCUGCCGCUGCCCACCCACAACUCAUCUCGCGGCUGCGUCGCCUCCUCACCUCGCCGCCAACGCCGCCGCCGUCGACUCCGCUCCAGAUCCCCGCGUUGCCUCCUCACCUCGCCACCAACGCCGCCGCCGUCGACUCCGCAUCAAAUCCCCACGACCUCGCCCCAUCCGCCCCAGCCGGCGGCGGCCGAUUGCCAGAUCCCCGUGUCGCCUCCUCACCUCGCCGCCAACGCCGCCGCCGGCGACGUUGCCGCUGCCCACCCGCCCCAGCCGGCGACGCUGCCGCUGCCCACCCACAACUCAUCUAGCGGUUGCGUCGCCUCCUCACCUCGCCGCCAACGCCGCCGCCGUCGACUCCGCUCCAGAUCCCCGCGUUGCCUCCUCACCUCACCACCAACGCCGCCGCCGUCGACUCCGCAUCAAAUCCCCACAACCUCGCCCCAUCCGCCCCAGCCGGCGGCGGCCGACUGCCAGAUCCCCGCGUCGCCUCCUCACCACGCCGCCAACGCUGCCGCCGGCGACGUUGCCGCUGCCCACCCACCCCAGUCGGCGACGCUGCCGCUGUCCACCCACAACUCAUCUCGCGGCUGCGUCGCCUCCUCACCUCGCCGCCAACGCCGCCGCCGUCGACUCCGCUCCAGAUCCCUGCGUUGCCUCCUCACCUCGCCACCAACGCUGCCGCCGUCGACUCCGCAUCAAAUCCCCGCGACCUCGCCCCAUCCGCCCCAGCCGGCGGCGGCCGACUGCCAGAUCCCCGCAUGUGCAAAUGUUUUCUUACUUUGUCGAAUUUUCAAUUGCAUAAUCCUCAUAUUUGCUUCCAAUUUCCAAUUUAAGAUUGUUUGUUCUGCAAUGGAUAACAAUGGUGGGAGUUCUGUGCCAACAUCGUCAACAAGAUCAGGUCCUUUUGCUGAUAUAACUAAUGUAAUUGAUGCCAAUUUGACGAACAACCAUCCCGCUGCUAAUAAAAAUGGAACUAAUGUGCCAAAAGAUCGUGAGAAUUGCCAGCACAACAACUUGGACUCUACAGAUAAUGGGUCUCAAGCUGUGACAUCAAAUAAAAUUACUACUACGGCCUCAUCUGUUUCAGCUCCGUUUGGUGAUAUUAAAAUUGCAAGCACUGAAGAUCAAUCAGUAGGGGGCCGGUUGGAUGUUAAUGAUGCAGGCACUGAAAAUGUGGGUUCUAUUGUAACGCCUGUGCGUCUACCAUUUACUAACAGUUCUGAUAUGUCCUACAGUACACCCAGCGAGUAUACCAUGCCUCUCCAGGCAGAAGGUCCAUUCAAAUAA
RNAcentral lists this long non-coding RNA (1803 nucleotides) under Oryza sativa tropical japonica subgroup. Its description in RNAcentral is "lncRNA OsKeNa_04g0001900". Lineage: Eukaryota; Viridiplantae; Streptophyta; Magnoliopsida; Poales; Poaceae. The record is from RNAcentral.